AAGCUCGUAGUUGAAUUUCGGGAUCAAUUUAUUGGUCGUGCUAUUGUACGUACUGGUAUUAUUGAUUCCUACCUUCUGACGAACCAUGAUGUCAUUAAUUUGGUGUCAUGGGGAAUCAGGACUGUUACUUUGAAAAAAUUAGAGUGUUUAAAGCAGGCUCACGCUUGAAUACAUUAGCAUGGAAUAACGAAAUAGGACGUUUGAUUCUAUUUUGUUGGUUUCUAGGAUCGACGUAAUGAUUAAUAGGGAUAGUUGGGGGCAUUAGUAUUCAAUUGUCAGAGGUGAAAUUCUUGGAUCUAUUGAAGACUAACUACUGCGAAAGCAUUUGCCAAGGAUGUUUUCAUUAAUCAAGAACGAAGGUUAGGGGAUCGAAAACGAUCAGAUACCGUUGUAGUCUUAACAGUAAACUAUGCCGACUAGGGAUCGGACGACCUCUUUUUUAUGUGUCGUUCGGCA
This 456-nucleotide ribosomal RNA is filed under the name uncultured Glomus. Its description in RNAcentral is "bacterial SSU rRNA". It matches the Rfam family "Eukaryotic small subunit ribosomal RNA", at positions 624 to 1085 of the family's 1831-position model. The record is from RNAcentral. Lineage: Eukaryota; Fungi; Glomeromycota; Glomeromycetes; Glomerales; Glomeraceae.